AUACGUAGGGAGCGAGCGUUGUCCGGAAUUACUGGGUGUAAAGGGAGCGUAGGCGGGAGUGCAAGUCAGAUGUGAAAUACAUGGGCUCAACCCAUGGGCUGCAUUUGAAACUGCAUUUCUUGAGUGAAGUAGAGGUAAGCGGAAUUCCUGGUGUAGCGGUGAAAUGCGUAGAUAUCAGGAGGAACACCGGUGGCGAAGGCGGCUUACUGGGCUUUUACUGACGCUGAGGCUCGAAAGCGUGGGGAGCAGACAGGAUUAGAUACCCUGGUAGUCCACGCUGUAAACGAUGAUUACUAGGUGUGGGGGGACUGACCCCUUCCGUGCCGCAGUUAACACAAUAAGUAAUCCACCUGGGGAGUACGGCCGCAAGGUUGAAACUCAAAGGAAUUGACGGGG
RNAcentral lists this ribosomal RNA (396 nucleotides) under uncultured bacterium. Its description in RNAcentral is "partial 16S ribosomal RNA". It matches the Rfam family "Bacterial small subunit ribosomal RNA", at positions 523 to 918 of the family's 1533-position model. The record is from RNAcentral.